CCUACGGGUGGCAGCAGUGAGGAAUAUUGGUCAAUGGGCGCGAGUCUGAACCAGCCAAGUAGCGUGAAGGAUGACUGCCCUAUGGGUUGUAAACUUCUUUUAUACAGGAAUAAACUUUGCCACGUGUGUUCUUUUGUAUGUACUUUAUGAAUAAGGAUCGGCUAACUCCGUGCCAGCAGCCGCGGUAAUACGGAGGAUCCGAGCGUUAUCCGGAUUUAUUGGGUUUAAAGGGAGCGUAGGUGGAUUGUUAAGUCAGUUGUGAAAGUUUGCGGCUCAACCGGAAAAUUGCAAUUGAUACUGGCAGUCUAGAGAACAGUUGCGGUAGGCGGAAGUCGUGGUGUAGCGGUGAAAUGCUUAGAUAUCACGCAGAACUCCGAUUGCGAAGGCAGCUUACUAAACUGCAACUGACAUUGAUGCUCGAAAGUGUGGGUAUCAAACAGGAUUAGAUACCCGUGUAGUC
RNAcentral lists this ribosomal RNA (460 nucleotides) under uncultured bacterium. RNAcentral describes it as "partial 16S ribosomal RNA". It matches the Rfam family "Bacterial small subunit ribosomal RNA", at positions 338 to 795 of the family's 1533-position model. The record is from RNAcentral.